Molecule: ribosomal RNA, 429 nt
Filed under: Pseudomonadota bacterium
Lineage: Bacteria; Pseudomonadati; Pseudomonadota
Description: Proteobacteria bacterium partial 16S ribosomal RNA
Rfam family: Bacterial small subunit ribosomal RNA
Source: RNAcentral
UGGGGAAUAUUGGACAAUGGGCGAAAGCCUGAUCCAGCCAUGCCGCGUGUGUGAAGAAGGUCUUCGGAUUGUAAAGCACUUUAAGUUGGGAGGAAGGGCAGUAAGCGAAUACCUUGCUGCUUUGACGUUACCGACAGAAUAAGCACCGGCUAACUCUGUGCCAGCAGCCGCGGUAAUACAGAGGGUGCAAGCGUUAAUCGGAAUUACUGGGCGUAAAGCGCGCGUAGGUGGUUCGUUAAGUUGAAUGUGAAAGCCCCGGGCUCAACCUAGGAACUGCAUCCAAAACUGGCGAGCUAGAGUAGGGCAGAGGGUGGUGGAAUUUCCUGUGUAGCGGUGAAAUGCGUAGAUAUAGGAAGGAACACCAGUGGCGAAGGCGACCACCUGGGCUCAUACUGACACUGAGGUGCGAAAGCGUGGGGAGCAAACAGG